GAAUGCCGGUAUGAGUAACGAAAAGAUCUGUGAGAAUCAGAUCCGCCGAAAGCCUAAGGGUUCCUGAGGAAGGUUCGUCCGCUCAGGGUAAGUCGGGACCUAAGGCGAGGCCGAUAGGCGUAGUCGAUGGACAACAGGUCGAAAUUCCUGUACCACCGUAAUCCGCUAUGAGCGAUGGGGUGACGCAGUAGGGUAGUGACGCGGACUGAUGGAUGUCCGUCUAAGCAGUGAGGCUGGUGUGUAGGCAAAUCCGCACAUCGU
Molecule: ribosomal RNA, 261 nt
Filed under: Paenibacillus ottowii
Lineage: Bacteria; Bacillati; Bacillota; Bacilli; Caryophanales; Paenibacillaceae
Description: partial 23S ribosomal RNA
Rfam family: Bacterial large subunit ribosomal RNA
Source: RNAcentral